Molecule: non-coding RNA, 117 nt
Organism: Gorilla gorilla gorilla (western lowland gorilla)
Lineage: Eukaryota; Metazoa; Chordata; Mammalia; Primates; Hominidae
Rfam family: Metazoan signal recognition particle RNA
About the family: The signal recognition particle (SRP) is a universally conserved ribonucleoprotein.
Source: Rfam
GCCGGGUGCGGUGGCUCGCGCCUGUAAUCCCAGCACUUUGGGAGGCUGAGGUGGGUGGGUCACUUGAGGCCAGGAGUUUGAGAUCAGCCUGGCCAACAUAGUGAAACCCUGUCUCUA